Pelobates cultripes (western spadefoot toad) is the source of this 128-nucleotide non-coding RNA. The record is from the annotation of a GenBank genome assembly. Lineage: Eukaryota; Metazoa; Chordata; Amphibia; Anura; Pelobatidae.
CAGGGGUCCUCAAACUCCGGCCCCCCAGAUGUUGCUGAACUACAACUCCCAUGAUAUCUAUGUAAUUCAAAGAAUCAUGGGAGUUGUAGUUCAGCAACAUCUGGGGGGCCAGAUUUUGAGGACCCCUG